Pocillopora damicornis (cauliflower coral) is the source of this 1510-nucleotide long non-coding RNA. RefSeq lists it as uncharacterized. The record is from RefSeq and is a predicted model, not a curated record. NCBI's taxonomy places the organism in Eukaryota, Metazoa, Cnidaria, Anthozoa, Scleractinia, Pocilloporidae.
UAUCAUAACAGAAACAUAUCAUGGCAAAGUAAUUCCUUGUAGAUUGCCGGGGGAAUUUAUUUCUGAUUCGCUAAAUCAAUGCAAAAAUUGCAGUUAAUGCCAUGAAGAUGUAAAACUUCGAAAACCUGAAAAAAAUUUUUCCACCAAGCUGUCGAGGAGAAUAGGCUUUGUCGCUAGGACCACUGGAGAGCAGAAUUGAAUCUGAUGUGAAAUUCUUAUGCUCGGUAAACAAUACAUAUUCAGGAGAUAUCGAUGGGGAAAAGACCAACCGUGUUUGAGAAUUGUUUUGGAUCACAAUGCUUUCUCUUGCCAUUUUUUUGACUGUAUUACUGGUUGCCGGAGUAACAUUAUUUCACCUUUACUGUGUUGGAAGUUUGUGCUGUGGUCUCCGGCAAAGACACAGGGCUCAAAUGAUCGCCUACAUGACAAAAUAAGAAACUCUUAUCGAGCUGACAGCGAAACUGAGGAGGAGAAAGACCAGGGCGAUUUUCUGAGUCACUUAAUUUUCAAUCCGCGUAGCAGUAAAAAGGAGUGCAAUGGACAAAUUUCAACUUAUAAUUCGAAGGGUCAAACACCUUAGAGCAUAAAGUUUCUAGCUUCAAAUCCAGCACAAUAUUCACACUCAAACAACUCUUUGGUUUAAAGGUUGCCAGAAAGAAAUACCCGGUUAGCGGUUAUUGGUGUUCCAUGUUUAUGGAUGGUGGCAGUAAGCCAGCCUGGACACAAGCCAACAUCACUUACACAAAUAAGUUUUUAUUGAAAAUUACGAAACGUAGUGAUGUGCUAUAUAUGUGUGUAACUUCGAAAAGUGACUUAAGUAGCUCAGCAGAAUCAUUUUGACAUUUCCAUUGAUGAAAUACCUACGGAAGGAACAUUUCAUCCAAGUAUGGUGGUGGUGACGGCCGUUUUCCUUGGAGUAAUUGUGGCUGGAUUUAGCGUGUUGGAUAUCUACUUGCUGAAACGAUGUUUUGGGGAGGAACAAAAUCAGCUGGAAGAUACGGAACCGUAUGCACAAGUGUUCCCAGUGACAAUACCUUACUUCUCUGCGAGAUAAACCAAUUUUUGAGACCUACGCUUGCGCUCAAGAGAUAAAGCCACGACAAUUUAUAACCUAAAAGACACAUGGCGAAUGAAAUGAGACAUUUAGAAAGUAUAUUCCUUUGUAUAUAAGGUUUAUCAAUACGAAAUGAGAUAUUUGAAGCAGAUUUUCUACGUUCUUAAAGGAUGCGCUAAAAUUUCAUUGGUUUUCAAUGUGUUGGAGUUUUCACAUCUCUAUCUUCUAAGGAAAAUGGAUUCUGGUGUAAUAUUGUACAAGCAAUAGUUUUUGGACUUAAAUUAUGGUUAUUCUUAGUGAAUUGGCUUCGUUAUUGUUUUAUUCGAUUUGCAGGAUUAUAAGAAGUUUCUCUUUUUGAGAAACGGAUUAACUCUGUUUAUUAUUUUUUCGGGUCUCGUAAAGUGUACAUCUCAGCUGAUGUAGUUGUUGUUAUUGUGUUGUAGAGGUAAGAAUGUG